Molecule: unclassified non-coding RNA, 336 nt
Filed under: soil metagenome
Description: partial contains 5.8S ribosomal RNA, internal transcribed spacer 2, and large subunit ribosomal RNA
Rfam family: 5.8S ribosomal RNA (bases 1-120)
Source: RNAcentral
GAUGAAGAACUUAGUGAAAUGCGAUAAGUAGUGUGAAUUGCAGAAUUCAGUGAAUCAUCGAAUCUUUGAACGCACAUUGCGCCCCUCGGUAUUCCGUGGGGCAUGCCUGUUCGAGCGUCAUCUACACCCUCAAGCUCUGCUUGGUGUUGGGCGUCUGUCCCGCCUCCGCGCGUGGACUCGCCCCAAAUUCAUUGGCAGCGGUCCUUGCCUCCUCUCGCGCAGCACAUUGCGCUUCUCGAGGGGCUACGGCUCGCGUCCAACAAGCACAUUUACCGUCUUUGACCUCGGAUCAGGUAGGGAUACCCGCUGAACUUAAGCAUAUCAAUAAGCGGAGGA